RNAcentral lists this small nuclear RNA (118 nucleotides) under Carlito syrichta (Philippine tarsier). Its description in RNAcentral is "U4 spliceosomal RNA (ENSTSYG00000022449.2)". It matches the Rfam family "U4 spliceosomal RNA". From Rfam's summary of the family: U4 small nuclear RNA (U4 snRNA) is a component of the major U2-dependent spliceosome. The structure of U4 snRNA from yeast and human has been reported. Lineage: Eukaryota; Metazoa; Chordata; Mammalia; Primates; Tarsiidae. The record is from Rfam by way of RNAcentral.
AGCUUUGCGCAGUGGCAGUAUCGUAGCCAAUGAGGUUUAUCCGAGGCGCGAUUAUUGCUAAUUGAAAACUUUUCCCAAUACCCCGCCGUGACGACUUGAAAAUACAGGAGAAAGUGUG